GUUGUUGACAGCGGGAUCGUGGAUAAUCCAGAUGUGAAUGUUGUUAGAAGUCUUAGCGUCUCGUUUUUAAAUAGUACCCCAAGCAGAAGAGAUCAUGGAACCAAAGUUGCUGGAGUCUUAAGUGGAAAAAUCAAUAAAAUAUGUGGAAUAGG
Lingula anatina is the source of this 152-nucleotide long non-coding RNA. NCBI's taxonomy places the organism in Eukaryota, Metazoa, Brachiopoda, Lingulata, Lingulida, Lingulidae. The record is from RefSeq and is a predicted model, not a curated record.